UCUCUCUCUCUCUCUCUCUCUCUCUCUCUCACUUACGCAGUCACACGACACAUGCGUAUUGUAAACACUUAUUGGUUUGUAUGUUAAUUGCUUUUUUUCCUUUUCUGGUAAUUUAUUAACUACCCAUCUCUCUCUCUUAAAUAACUCCUACCUUGUUUUCUUUAUCUCUCUCUAUCUCUUUUGGUAUGAAAAUUUUGUAUGGGUUUAUGCUGAAGAGCUUCUAUACUGGUUUUUCGUUGUGGUUCGUCCAGAGGAUCAUUAUCUCUCGUUGUUUCUCUUGCAUUUUGCAUAUUUGAUCAUGGAUCUCAAUGAGUGUUGUUUGAGUGGGGCUUUUGUUGUUCAUUGAAUGAUGGUCUAGCUUUUGAUUGAUGUCUCAAUGAACUUCAAAGCUUUCUUUAGAAAGCAAUCUCUCUUCUGUCUCAUUUGGUUUUCUUUCUUCUGCUUUUUGGGCAGUGGAUGACAGAAGACUCAUCUAUUUUGGUUCUAUUCAUGGUUUUGAUGUCUAGCUUAUUUUCUAUUUUAUGUCUUAACUGAUGGUUUCGCCGCUCGCUUGCGAUGCUUUUUCUCAAAGCUUAUUUAUGUGGCAAAUUGACGCCUUACAAGUUGCAAAACUGUCUAUCACAUGGUUUUCGAGUUGAGGUUGCACUUUUAUGGGAUUAGUGGGAUCAAAUUUGGUGUGGCUCACUUCUAUAUAAAAAAAAAAAAGAAAAAGAAGAAAAAAAGUUAAUUUGUUAUUUCUCUUAUUUCUAUAUAAUUCAAAGUUUUAAUUCAAGGUAACUAGACUGAUUAGGUUAUUUUUGAAGAUGGCAUGGGAUAGGUUUGACAGGCAUUUAACGGGACGAUAUUAAUAGUUCUAAGGGGUUUCUGUUUCUAUUUCUAUUUUUGAAUGGUUAAGUUGGGGUUCAGACAUUGGGUUGCUUUUUAGGGAUUUUUGGAGGAGAUAAUUGAGAAUUGAGUCUAUCAUGGAUGGUAAUUUGAUACAUUGAUACAUCUCAAAUUUUUUGUAGAAAAUCCUGCAUGCAGCUAUUCAGGAGUUCAGGAUGUGAAGUGUUAAAAAUUGUGCUCUAAGCUCAGUAUGUUGUUGUAUAUUAGCUCUUAGGAGGUAUUUUAUUAUUAUGGGAACUUAUGUUUCUGUUAAGGAUGGGUUUCUAUGAGUCAGCCGACUCAUAUGUACACAUGCAGCUCCGUUCCAAAAUUCACCUUAAAGAUGGAUUUUUGAUACAAAAUUUUUGGGAUACAUCAUCUAGGACAAACUGAUCAUAAAUAUGAAUUUUUUUGUUUUGAACUUUAAAAUGUGCUUUUUUUGGGGAUGUUUUUGGAACCAUCCAUAUUUCAUUGGACCCCGUGCGUUUACACAAUGUCCAUCUUAAAGAUGGACGUUGAAGAGUCAUCGGGCUCUUGUACCUGCUGACUCAUGGAACACUUUUCCUUUUGUUAAUAGACGUGCAGUGCAUCCUUGUAUAUAUACUUGACAAGAAAGAAAUAUAUCGGUGUAUGUAUUUCUUAAAUUCUCAAGGCAAUGGAAAUUACAUAGGCUACUUUUAGAGCUUUGUGAAAAGAUGAAUGCUUCAAGGAUUCUUCUUUGGUCAAGCAUUUACUCAGGUUUCUUAGAUGGGAUUGUUUGACAAUAGAGUGAGUGCAAAUUGCGAUAUGCACCUUUAUGUCCUGUUGGGAAUGUCCUAGUGUGAGAUUGAGUUUGUCUUUGCGGACUUGGCUACUUUCCUGUGGCGCUAUUAGCAAGGAAAACCUGUCAAUUUAUACUGAUUUUCUAUGCUUAUAUGCAAAUGAGGAAUACUUGGUGGGUCACGUUUUGUUCCAUUGCCUAUAUUGGACAGUUGACAUGGCCUUUUUCCAACAGUUGAUGAGCGGAGGGGAGUAGAUUUUUCUUGGGAAAAUUUCGUAAAGACCCCUAAUUCCCCAUCAUAUUUCACGGUAGACCCUCGUAUUUUUCUUCCAAGCGGCAUAAAAAAACCCUCAAGUAUUUCACCGUACCCCCUCUUCUCUUCUCUCCCACGUUUAUUCAAUUUUGGCCACAAAAACUAGCCCCAACAAAUUGUUUUAUUCUAUCUCAAUCCAAAAGCUUUUUUAAAAGGUGCAAAAUAGGGUUAAAAAGGCUUUUGGAUUGAGAUGGAAUAAAAUAAUUUGUUAGGGCUAGUUUUUGUGGCCAAAAGUAAAUAAACGUGGGAAGAAGAGAUGAGGGGGUACGGUGAAAUACUCGAGGGUUUUUUAUGCCGCUUGAAAGAAAAAUAGGAGGGUCUACUUUGAAAUAAGAUGGGGAAUUAGGGGUCUGUACGAUAUUUUCCCAUCUUUCUUUGCUAGGCUCAUCUCAGUGGGUGUGUCUUGUAGUUCUAUGAAGGUUGAUUAAAAUUUAAAUAUGAAAUCCUGGUCGUGAUAUCGAUUUUUUAACUGAAAAGAUGUGUGAGACAGUGAAGUUGGUGCUAGAAGGGUGCGUCAUUGAUGCAGUGCAUCUUUGAAAGGUUAAGAAUCAAUGAGUUGAAAAGGGCUAGGAACUAGCCAAUGAAUAUUUUCCAUGGCAAAUGAAUCCAGAGAUGUUCGUUAUUGUAUAUAUGUUAGUGUAAUUUAUCAAUCUUGACAAAGUUGGAAAGGAAAUACCUGGUCAAAGGUUCAUUAAGGUUAUGAAUGGCAUGGUCGUUUGGUUCUUUAGAAGUCCCAUAGGAUUGGCUCAUUAGACAGAGGGGAGGCCCAUUAUAAACCCUGGCUUUUGGAUCUUCAUUCUUGUCCUUGGCUUUCUGGUCUUUUUGAUGGAGUUAGUUCUAUGAUGCCCUCAAGUUGUGUCGUUGGUGCUACUGUAAAACAAGAUAUAAAUAAUUCACUACUGCAUGCGCAUGAGUUGGAGUAUAAUGCAGACAAGUGUUGAGAAGGGAUCAGUUAAAACACCUCCUAGGUAUCAACAUCGAAUGUUCAAAAAGUUGGAUGUCCUGUCUAGGCGGUUUGGGGCCUGGCUGCCUAGGUGGGUGCCCAGGAACAAGGACAGGCUAGGCCCCCAAGGAGUUAGUCGGGCAGGGGUGUAGGCCCCCUAGGGAGUUCUUAGGGUAGUUUUAGGGACCCAAAAUCCCUGAGAGUGAAAAAUAAAUUGACAAAGACAAACAUGUAAAAAUAUCAAAAAAGGAAAACAAAAAAUAGAAGAAUAUCAAAUCAUUACACCUUAUACCAAAAAAAAAAAACCCUAACACAAAUAUUGUAUUGCACUAAGCAUUUCUAAAUAAAUUUGAUAUAGGCUGAAACGGGGAAAUUUUGACAAAAUAUUUCAAGUUUUCAACUACAAACAUAUAACAAUACCACUAAAGAAAAAAGAAAGUAAAAGAGUAUCAAAUAAUAGCACUUUAUGCAACAAAAAUAACCAAACCUUGAUUCAAAGAUUGUAAUGCACUAACCUUUUCAAAAUGAAACCGAUAUUGGCCCAAACCAGUGAUCUUUGGCCCAAAAGUCCCAUAUGUCCUCAUAUACUACCACUCCAAGCUCCAAAAAGUAUCAAGAAGUAUUUCUUUUGAUUUCGCUAGAAAUUGAAAAUGUUGAAAAUUUUCUUCUAUCUUGAGAAAAAUCUCAAAAUCCAAUUAUUUAGAGAUACAAUCUGAAAUACACAAAAGGGUGUUUGAGGGACUAGAAUGCUCCCCAAAAUCCUUUUUCCCCUUUUUUUGGGGGGGAAAUCCCCAAAAUACCCUUGGCUGAGGGCCUAUUUUCUGCCCUGGGCCUGCCUACAUCUAGGUACCCACCUUAUGGCGAGCGCCUAGGUGGGUGCCUAGAUGCACUAUGCCCAGGAAGCCCGCCUAGGCAUUUUGGCCUUGGGGCUGCCUAGGCGGCUGGUGGCCGAUUUUUUGAACAUUGUUAACAUCUUUUUUUCGAGACCACAAUCAAUAGAGAAUUUGGCUUCUAAUAGUUGAAUGUGUUGCGAGAGUCACAUGGAUAUUUGCAGGUGCUUGGUGUCGAUGUUGUUAAUGCUUAAUCUAAGGGACUUUCUACAAGCAUAGUCCGUAGAAAUCAUGCUUUUGUUUUUAAUAAUUUUUCAGGCAUAGAUAAUCUAUUCAUGCAUGAUGCAUUAUCCAUGACUUCAUCCAAGUUGGAUGAUAUAUGUAUAGAUCACAUGCUCUUCAGCCAUUUGAAUUGAUCUUUGGGGGCACUUUGCUUAAUGCAUGUGCUUAUUGACUGCUGGAGAGAGAGAGAGAGAGAGAGAGAGAGAGAGAGAGAGAGAGAGAGAGAGAGAGAGAGAGAGAGAGAGAGAGAGAG
Molecule: long non-coding RNA, 4245 nt
Filed under: Amborella trichopoda
Lineage: Eukaryota; Viridiplantae; Streptophyta; Magnoliopsida; Amborellales; Amborellaceae
Description: long non-coding RNA (ATRI_LNC003869)
Source: RNAcentral